CUGUUUAAAGAUAUGAGAGUCCACCUCUUGCAUCAGUGUGACCUGGAUGUGAGACGUAGAGUCAAAGGAGAUCAUUUUGGAACUUUAAAGUUUAAUGGCUGCCCUAUUGGAUUUUUGAAUUGCAUGGGGGCCUGUAGGGCUUUUGUUUUGGCCAAUUUAUUCCAUUUAGAAUGAGUGUAUUUACCCCAUGCUUGUACCUCAUUGUAUCUAGGAAGUAACUAACUUGCUUUUGAUUUUACAGGCUCACAGGCAGAAGGGACUUGCCUUAUCUCAGAUGGGACUUUGGACUUGGAUUUUUGCUGGAAUAAGUUAAGACUUUAGGGGGCUGAUUGUGUUUUGAAAUAUAAGAAUGUGAGAUUUGGGAGGGACCGGGGUGGAGUAAUAUGGUUUGGCUGUGCCCCUACCCAAAUCUCAUCUUGAAUUGUUCCCAUAAUCCCCACGUGUGGGAGAAACCUCAUGGGAGGUGAUUAGAUUAUGGGGGUGAUUCCCCCAUGCUGUUCUCGUGGUAGUGGGUGAGUUCUCUUGAGAUCUGAUGAUUUUAAAAGGCGCUUUUCCCCCUUCACUCUGCCCUUCUCUCUCCUGCUGCCAUGUGAAGAAGGACAUGUUUGCUUCUCCUUUUGCCAUGACUGUCAUUUUCAUGAGACCUCGCCAACCAUGCGGAACUGUGAGUCAAUUAAACUUCUUUCCUUUAUAAAUUACCCAGUCUCAGGCAGUUCUUUAUAGCAGCAUGAGAAUGGACUAAUACAAUUUCCCAUAGAAACUUUACUGCACAUGAUGUCUGGUUUGGUGGAACUCUACGCACAGUGCCUUCAGAGGACUUGGGGUGGAGAAUUUGACCUGAGGUGUUUGCAGCAACUUAGAAACUAUCUGGAAUGAAAGCACAAUGAGGACCUAAUGGCUCCUCUCCUGCUUCAGACCACUGCAUCUUCCAGUGACCUCCAAGUCCUUAAACCUGGCUGCCUCUCAAGACCCUGCCUUUCAGAUAUGUUUGCCUCUUUUUUGAUCAGCAACCCUGGAAACUCUCCACUUGCUGCUCCUCCACCCAGCCUUGCUCCUGCCGUCCUGCUGAUCUCCCAGCCCGGGACAGAAGAGGUUCUCCAGGGCUGUGUUCUUCAGCUCAGGUUUGCUGAUGCUGCAGCAAUGCAUGGGGCUCUUCAGACAGUGGCCAAGCAGGCACCUUGGGGGAGCAGCUACACUGACCCCACUGGCAAAUGAAAUGAUGACUUCACUUUAACCCUGAAGCUGUUAUACAGAGAAAGCUUGGAGCCUGACUAAAGCCAAAUAAACGUUGGCUUGAAUCACCACACAUUCUGUGCUGUUCGUGCAACCCUCAGCAAGUACAUGAUCCUUCUGAGCCCUAGAUGUUCAUGUAUAAACUAAUGAAACCUUGCCUGAGGAAGGCAUGUAGCCAGUUUCUCGCCUUGGGAUAAAAAAAUCUGUUCAUGAGUCCUAUUUGGAGAUCUGGCAUCUGUGCUAUUGGUAAGCAGCAAGUCAAAUUCUGUAAACAACGCCAUCCCUGAAUGACAAUUUCACUUUUACUCCACUUCCUCUAGUCUCUGCUCAUCUUAGUCUUAACAAGUGGCAUGUCAACUUACUAAAACAGCUGGAUAUGUGAUGAUUUUAGAAAAGUUUGCUUCCCCACCCAGAUAAAUAUCUACUUCAUG
RNAcentral lists this long non-coding RNA (1664 nucleotides) under Macaca mulatta (Rhesus monkey). RNAcentral describes it as "lncRNA (ENSMMUG00000057338.1)". The record is from RNAcentral. Lineage: Eukaryota; Metazoa; Chordata; Mammalia; Primates; Cercopithecidae.